RNAcentral lists this ribosomal RNA (253 nucleotides) under uncultured bacterium. RNAcentral describes it as "partial 16S ribosomal RNA". It matches the Rfam family "Bacterial small subunit ribosomal RNA", at positions 524 to 776 of the family's 1533-position model. The record is from RNAcentral.
UACGUAGGGUGCGAGCGUUGUCCGGAAUUAUUGGGCGUAAAGAGCUCGUAGGCGGUCUGUCGCGUCGGAUGUGAAAACCCAGGGCUUAACCCUGGGCCUGCAUUCGAUACGGGCAGACUAGAGUUCGGUAGGGGAGACUGGAAUUCCUGGUGUAGCGGUGAAAUGCGCAGAUAUCAGGAGGAACACCGGUGGCGAAGGCGGGUCUCUAGGCCGACACUGACGCUGAGGAGCGAAAGCGUGGGGAGCGAACAGG